RNAcentral lists this long non-coding RNA (493 nucleotides) under Homo sapiens (human). RNAcentral describes it as "non-protein coding lnc-PROP1-1:1". The record is from RNAcentral. Lineage: Eukaryota; Metazoa; Chordata; Mammalia; Primates; Hominidae.
CUAGCUACCAAUGAGGAUGGCUGUGAACGCCUUGGCUGGGCCCUCUAAGGACAGCUUGGAGUGUUUGGACUCGGCCCAGAGUAAACAGCUGUGAAGCCCUGAGCUGGGCCCAGUGAGGGUGGCUAUGGAAACCUGGGCUGGGCCAGUGAGGACAGCUGUGAACACCUGGCCUGGGUCCAACGAGAACAGCUGAGAACACUUGGGCUAAGCCAAUAAGGACAGCUGUGGCACCGGGGACGAUUGCCCUGAAGACAGCUGUUAACAUCGUGGCUGGUCGCCUUGAGCACAGCUAUGAAUGUCUAGGCUGGGCCCAAUGAAGACAGCCGAAAACACCUGCCCUGGUUUCAGUGAGAGCCACUGUGAGCACUUGGGCCUGUCCCCAUGAGGAUGCCUAUGAACAGCUGGCUGGGCCCAAGAUGAAUGGCUCUUGACACCUAAACUCAGCCCUAGAAAGAUGCUGUGAACAACUGGGCAAUCCACAGGAUGAGACUCA